RNAcentral lists this ribosomal RNA (1532 nucleotides) under Glutamicibacter endophyticus. Its description in RNAcentral is "bacterial SSU rRNA". It matches the Rfam family "Bacterial small subunit ribosomal RNA". The record is from RNAcentral. Lineage: Bacteria; Bacillati; Actinomycetota; Actinomycetes; Micrococcales; Micrococcaceae.
CUGCCCUUCAGAGUUUGAUCCUGGCUCAGGAUGAACGCUGGCGGCGUGCUUAACACAUGCAAGUCGAACGAUGAACCCGGUGCUUGCACUGGGGGAUUAGUGGCGAACGGGUGAGUAACACGUGAGUAACCUGCCCCUGACUCUGGGAUAAGCCCGGGAAACUGGGUCUAAUACCGGAUAUGACUGUCCACUGCAUGGUGGGUGGUUGAAAGAUUUAUCGGUGAGGGAUGGACUCGCGGCCUAUCAGCUUGUUGGUGAGGUAAUGGCUCACCAAGGCGACGACGGGUAGCCGGCCUGAGAGGGUGACCGGCCACACUGGGACUGAGACACGGCCCAGACUCCUACGGGAGGCAGCAGUGGGGAAUAUUGCACAAUGGGCGAAAGCCUGAUGCAGCGACGCCGCGUGAGGGAUGACGGCCUUCGGGUUGUAAACCUCUUUCAGUAGGGAAGAAGCGAAAGUGACGGUACCUGCAGAAGAAGCGCCGGCUAACUACGUGCCAGCAGCCGCGGUAAUACGUAGGGCGCAAGCGUUAUCCGGAUUUAUUGGGCGUAAAGAGCUCGUAGGCGGUUUGUCGCGUCUGCCGUGAAAGUCCAAGGCUCAACCUUGGAUCUGCGGUGGGUACGGGCAGACUAGAGUGAUGUAGGGGAGACUGGAAUUCCUGGUGUAGCGGUGAAAUGCGCAGAUAUCAGGAGGAACACCGAUGGCGAAGGCAGGUCUCUGGGCAUUUACUGACGCUGAGGAGCGAAAGCAUGGGGAGCGAACAGGAUUAGAUACCCUGGUAGUCCAUGCCGUAAACGUUGGGCACUAGGUGUGGGGGACAUUCCACGUUUUCCGCGCCGUAGCUAACGCAUUAAGUGCCCCGCCUGGGGAGUACGGCCGCAAGGCUAAAACUCAAAGGAAUUGACGGGGGCCCGCACAAGCGGCGGAGCAUGCGGAUUAAUUCGAUGCAACGCGAAGAACCUUACCAAGGCUUGACAUGUGCCAGACCGCCUCAGAGAUGGGGUUUCCCUUCGGGGCUGGUUCACAGGUGGUGCAUGGUUGUCGUCAGCUCGUGUCGUGAGAUGUUGGGUUAAGUCCCGCAACGAGCGCAACCCUCGUUCCAUGUUGCCAGCACGUAAUGGUGGGGACUCAUGGGAGACUGCCGGGGUCAACUCGGAGGAAGGUGGGGAUGACGUCAAAUCAUCAUGCCCCUUAUGUCUUGGGCUUCACGCAUGCUACAAUGGCCGGUACGAUGGGUUGCGAUACUGUGAGGUGGAGCUAAUCCCUAAAAGCCGGUCUCAGUUCGGAUUGGGGUCUGCAACUCGACCCCAUGAAGUCGGAGUCGCUAGUAAUCGCAGAUCAGCAACGCUGCGGUGAAUACGUUCCCGGGCCUUGUACACACCGCCCGUCAAGUCACGAAAGUUGGUAACACCCGAAGCCGAUGGCCUAACCACCUUGUGUGGGAGGAGUCGUCGAAGGUGGGACUGGCGAUUGGGACUAAGUCGUAACAAGGUAGCCGUACCGGAAGGUGCGGCUGGAUCACCUCCUAAGG